This 501-nucleotide ribosomal RNA is filed under the name uncultured bacterium. RNAcentral's name for it is "bacterial SSU rRNA". It matches the Rfam family "Bacterial small subunit ribosomal RNA", at positions 8 to 526 of the family's 1533-position model. The record is from RNAcentral.
AGAGUUUGAUCAUGGCUCAGGACGAACGCUGGCGGCGUGCUUAACACAUGCAAGUCGAACGAGACCCUUUCUUCGGAGAGGUGUUCUAGUGGCGAACGGGUGAGUAACACGUGGGCAACCUGCCCUCAGCUCUGGGAUAACUCCAAGAAAUUGGGGCUAAUACCGGAUAUGACUGCUGACCGCAUGGUCUGGUGGUGGAAAGAUUUAUCGGCUGGGGAUGGGCCCGCGGCCUAUCAGCUUGUUGGUGGGGUAGUGGCCUACCAAGGCGACGACGGGUAGCCGGCCUGAGAGGGUGACCGGCCACACUGGGACUGAGACACGGCCCAGACUCCUACGGGAGGCAGCAGUGGGGAAUAUUGCGCAAUGGGCGAAAGCCUGACGGAGCAACGCCGCGUGCAGGAGGAAGGCCUUCGGGUUGUAAACUGCUUUUAACGGGGACGAUUAUGACGGUACCCGUAGAAUAAGGAUUGGCUAAUUCCGUGCCAGCCGCCGCGGUAAUAC